GGGUAAGUCCUGUACGACCAGCUCCCUCUGAAUCCCCCCAGGGUCGGAAGGCAGCAAGGGUAGGAGGUUGAGCGGUGCGAUACAGGUAGCUUACCCACU
Molecule: signal recognition particle RNA, 99 nt
Filed under: Mangrovibacterium marinum
Lineage: Bacteria; Pseudomonadati; Bacteroidota; Bacteroidia; Marinilabiliales; Prolixibacteraceae
Also listed under: 1 other name
Description: Bacterial small signal recognition particle RNA
Rfam family: Bacteroidales small SRP
About the family: The non-coding component of the signal recognition particle in Bacteroides
Source: RNAcentral